AGAAAGAAGAUCUUUAGGUUACUAAUUUUGGGGGUGGGAAGAGUUGACAUCAAAUGUGUUGCAAAUAUGAUUUUUAUAAUGUAAAGCAAAAUACAUGUAAAAUCACCUUUGUUAGCUGUUACAACCAUAAUAAACAGCGACAUAAGCACAGUAUUUGCAAUUAACAGUGACAAAAUGCAUUAAUGUAUUAAAUUUCUAAGCUUUCUUUUGACACAUCAUUGUGUUGUCGUUGUAACAGUAAAAAAAUGCACAGACGUCAAUAAAUAAUAAACAAGGGACAAAGGCGUAAGUCACACACUGGCAGCAUUCAUAAUCAGUAUAAAAAAUAUAAAGCUGAAUC
This is a long non-coding RNA of Hippocampus comes (tiger tail seahorse), 340 nucleotides long. RefSeq lists it as uncharacterized. Lineage: Eukaryota; Metazoa; Chordata; Actinopteri; Syngnathiformes; Syngnathidae. The transcript has 2 exons. The record is from RefSeq and is a predicted model, not a curated record.